RNAcentral lists this transfer RNA (76 nucleotides) under Chloroflexota bacterium. RNAcentral describes it as "tRNA-Gly". It matches the Rfam family "tRNA". From Rfam's summary of the family: Transfer RNA (tRNA) molecules are approximately 80 nucleotides in length. Their secondary structure includes four short double-helical elements and three loops (D, anti-codon, and T loops). Further hydrogen bonds mediate the characteristic L-shaped molecular structure. tRNAs have two regions of fundamental functional importance: the anti-codon, which is responsible for specific mRNA codon recognition, and the 3' end, to which the tRNAs corresponding amino acid is attached (by aminoacyl-tRNA synthetases). tRNAs cope with the degeneracy of the genetic code in two manners: having more than one tRNA (with a specific anti-codon) for a particular amino acid; and 'wobble' base-pairing, i.e. permitting non-standard base-pairing at the 3rd anti-codon position. The record is from RNAcentral. Lineage: Bacteria; Bacillati; Chloroflexota.
GCGAGAGAAGCUCAUCGGGAUGAGUGCCUGUCUUCCAAACAGGAGGCAGUGGGUUCGAGACCCACCUCUCGCUCCA